RNAcentral lists this transfer RNA (65 nucleotides) under Dipodomys ordii (Ord's kangaroo rat). It matches the Rfam family "tRNA". Rfam says of the family: Transfer RNA (tRNA) molecules are approximately 80 nucleotides in length. Their secondary structure includes four short double-helical elements and three loops (D, anti-codon, and T loops). The record is from Rfam by way of RNAcentral. Lineage: Eukaryota; Metazoa; Chordata; Mammalia; Rodentia; Heteromyidae.
GGUGGCUCAGUGGUAGAGUGCUUGUCUUGCAUACAUGAGGCCCUGGGUUCAAUUCCCUAGCACCA